GGAACCAAAUCUUCACCUUUUGGAGAAAGCAAAGAUACGUUUAAGAGACGUUACCACUUGGCCGGUAGAUGAUCAUAAUUUACACUUUUGGAGCUUUGCGCUGAACAUCUGAGAACACGGCCCGUCUCAACAUCCCCCGCCUUGGUUUCCCUCUUGCCGCCAGGGGCCACGAGAAGGUCCCAGGGAUAGGUACCACCGCUGAUGACACUGCCAAACAAGAAAUGAACACAUUUAAAAGAACGCCUUAUGAUAUUAAAACGUAGUGGGAAAUGAA
Long non-coding RNA from Engraulis encrasicolus (European anchovy), 274 nucleotides. RefSeq lists it as uncharacterized. The transcript is spliced from 2 exons. The record is from RefSeq and is a predicted model, not a curated record. NCBI's taxonomy places the organism in Eukaryota, Metazoa, Chordata, Actinopteri, Clupeiformes, Engraulidae.